This 75-nucleotide transfer RNA is filed under the name Halobacteriales archaeon SW_12_71_31. RNAcentral's name for it is "tRNA-Glu". It matches the Rfam family "tRNA". Rfam says of the family: Transfer RNA (tRNA) molecules are approximately 80 nucleotides in length. Their secondary structure includes four short double-helical elements and three loops (D, anti-codon, and T loops). Further hydrogen bonds mediate the characteristic L-shaped molecular structure. tRNAs have two regions of fundamental functional importance: the anti-codon, which is responsible for specific mRNA codon recognition, and the 3' end, to which the tRNAs corresponding amino acid is attached (by aminoacyl-tRNA synthetases). tRNAs cope with the degeneracy of the genetic code in two manners: having more than one tRNA (with a specific anti-codon) for a particular amino acid; and 'wobble' base-pairing, i.e. permitting non-standard base-pairing at the 3rd anti-codon position. The record is from RNAcentral. Lineage: Archaea; Methanobacteriati; Methanobacteriota; Halobacteria; Halobacteriales.
GCUCCGUUGGUGUAGUCCGGCCAAUCAUAGCGGCCUUUCGAGCCACUGACCGGGGUUCGAAUCCCUGACGGAGCA